GGAGAGGUGUCCGAGUGGUUUAAGGUGCACGCCUGGAACGCGUGUAUGGAUGAAAAUCCAUCGGGAGUUCGAAUCUCCCCCUCUCCGCAA
RNAcentral lists this transfer RNA (90 nucleotides) under Fidelibacterota bacterium. RNAcentral describes it as "tRNA-Ser". It matches the Rfam family "tRNA". From Rfam's summary of the family: Transfer RNA (tRNA) molecules are approximately 80 nucleotides in length. Their secondary structure includes four short double-helical elements and three loops (D, anti-codon, and T loops). Further hydrogen bonds mediate the characteristic L-shaped molecular structure. tRNAs have two regions of fundamental functional importance: the anti-codon, which is responsible for specific mRNA codon recognition, and the 3' end, to which the tRNAs corresponding amino acid is attached (by aminoacyl-tRNA synthetases). tRNAs cope with the degeneracy of the genetic code in two manners: having more than one tRNA (with a specific anti-codon) for a particular amino acid; and 'wobble' base-pairing, i.e. permitting non-standard base-pairing at the 3rd anti-codon position. The record is from RNAcentral. Lineage: Bacteria; Pseudomonadati; Fidelibacterota.